This 703-nucleotide ribosomal RNA is filed under the name Lactiplantibacillus plantarum. RNAcentral's name for it is "bacterial SSU rRNA". The record is from RNAcentral. Lineage: Bacteria; Bacillati; Bacillota; Bacilli; Lactobacillales; Lactobacillaceae.
AACUGGUGAGUAACACGUGGGAAACCUGCCCAGAAGCGGGGGAUAACACCUGGAAACAGAUGCUAAUACCGCAUAACAACUUGGACCGCAUGGUCCGAGYUUGAAAGAUGGCUUCGGCUAUCACUUUUGGAUGGUCCCGCGGCGUAUUAGCUAGAUGGUGRGGUAACGGCUCACCAUGGCAAUGAUACGUAGCCGACCUGAGAGGGUAAUCGGCCACAUUGGGACUGAGACACGGCCCAAACUCCUACGGGAGGCAGCAGUAGGGAAUCUUCCACAAUGGACGAAAGUCUGAUGGAGCAACGCCGCGUGAGUGAAGAAGGGUUUCGGCUCGUAAAACUCUGUUGUUAAAGAAGAACAUAUCUGAGAGUAACUGUUCAGGUAUUGACGGUAUUUAACCAGAAAGCCACGGCUAACUACGUGCCAGCAGCCGCGGUAAUACGUAGGUGGCAAGCGUUGUCCGGAUUUAUUGGGCGUAAAGCGAGCGCAGGCGGUUUUUUAAGUCUGAUGUGAAAGCCUUCGGCUCAACCGAAGAAGUGCAUCGGAAACUGGGAAACUUGAGUGCAGAAGAGGACAGUGGAACUCCAUGUGUAGCGGUGAAAUGCGUAGAUAUAUGGAAGAACACCAGUGGCGAAGGCGGCUGUCUGGUCUGUAACUGACGCUGAGGCUCGAAAGUAUGGGUAGCAAACAGGAUUAGAUACCCUGG